This 31-nucleotide non-coding RNA is filed under the name Rattus norvegicus (Norway rat). Lineage: Eukaryota; Metazoa; Chordata; Mammalia; Rodentia; Muridae. The record is from RNAcentral.
UGAGCCUUAUACAGUGCGAUGCUUCAUGAUU